CCUGAGGAAAAGGACGCUGUGGCCACAGCUCCUAAUCUCCCAGAGACGCAACUGGACCGUACACACAGACAGCCAGAUGUUAUGUGUGGGGGUUUCAAAGGAAAUGGACCCGAGAAAAGACCGGACGGACUAAAGACCACGUGACGAGAGGUCACAUUUAGUCUUUUGCUGCACAUAUAGGCUACAGAGGGCUGCUUAGUGAAGAAGCUCACCUGCUGAUUAAUCAAUAUGGUGAGGAGUUGCGUGAAAGCAGGUUGCUCCCAAUGACAAAGCAACAAAGAAUAUUCCCCCAGUGCAGCUGUGUCCCUCACACAUCCACAAGGGGUGCUCGAGGAGAGCAGAAGCGCACCUGAACGAGCCUGGGCCGGCUUUUGGAAGACCUUCAGUGCACACCGGAGACAACAGAUGGAGUUUGACAAGAAGCUGGCGUGAGGCAACACAAGAGGACCCGUAACAGUUGUGAACAGCAACAAAACGAUGACAAGCUGAGAACAGAGAAGAGUUUAAGUCCACUGUUGAGCCAUCUCGGCAGGGACCCUGUGUUCUGUGUGCCGCGCCGACCCAGCCCUGCAGUGGACCGUGCCAUUCGAUCCACGCAGCCGAUGAUGAUUCACGCUCUGCGAUCCGGGGAGUGAGAGCAGGCAGAGGAAUCCCCCCCCCCUUCUCUCACCUUCCUCCCACCCUGCACAUCCAUAAUUCAGCAUUUGCGCCUUCGCCACACAACCCACCCCUCCCUCCUGUCUCUUUCAUCCCAUUGCUUUGGCUGCUGGCGUGCGCACCACAGCGCGGCGUCCACAAGCCCGAGUGCCCGCCGUCAGCAAUCCGGCCAUCUGGAGCUCCACGUCGAGCGGCGCAGGAACGCAGCUGCAACCUCUGACAAUGCAGACGUGUCUCUUCAUGAUCCCGCAUCGUUUUUGUGGUGUUUUUACAUUUUGGAAAAUAAUGUUUUUUUUAAGCAUUCAAGGAAAAGCCAAAAGGAACGAGUUUUAGCCGCAACACAGUUGUUUUGCUCUGUGGUCACUUUAAUGUGAGUCUCACAUUAUCCUGGUUAAAGGAAUAUGUAAUAACACGCUGAACAAAUAAAUGAUCCUGAUAUAUCGGAUAAGACCACUCGGUCCCUUUUGUUUUGGAGCGGCUGAAGUUUUUCCCCCCCUGGCUAGCCGUCUACGAAACCCUCUCUAAUAUUUUCUAUGUAUUGAUUGUAUAUGAGGAGGGGACACGGUUACUUUGAUCUGUUACCCUUUGGUUUGUUGACUACGGAUUUGAAGUUAUGAGUUUGAGCGUUGCUUUGCUGAAAAUCUGUCAAACUGUAUUGUGUUAAUGUCUGUUGUGGAACAUGUCGACCUUGGAAAAAAAUAAAUACUGCAUCAUGUUAGAGAUUCUGGGAUGUUUGGAUGUGAAUAGUAAGCUGACCUUUUGAUGUAAUUCUUCUGUAAUUGUUUUUUUUGGAUGUUGUUGCUUCAUCCUGUUCUUGCAUGUGUAAGAACGUCUAACUGCUCACUUGGUUUAGUUUAAUCACUCCAGUUUGGAUGUAGCGUUGUAAUGGUUGAAAUGUUUAUGUUAAUCCGAAUAUUACAAAAUAAAUCUGUGAAAACA
Gasterosteus aculeatus aculeatus (three-spined stickleback) is the source of this 1596-nucleotide long non-coding RNA. The record is from Ensembl. NCBI's taxonomy places the organism in Eukaryota, Metazoa, Chordata, Actinopteri, Perciformes, Gasterosteidae.